CCCUCCUCUGGAGAUUCAUAGCAAGCCCCAGGAUACAGGACUUUGCCUGGGCUGUUGGAUGUCCACAAUCGGGUCUUAGAACUCCACCUUCCUGCUCCUGAUGAGGGGAGACAGUGACCACUGCUGGAGCAAGACUGGUUCCUCCAUGCUGAGCCAGAGCCAUUCCACUGAACACAGCUGGUGGCUUCUCAGGAAGCCUGUUCACUGUGCCCAGUUGGAUCUACUGGUGUGUAGUAGAACAUGACUGUAACCUCAACCAGAAUCUGAAGAGCACAGUUUAUGUGCAAGGCACUAUGCGUAUUUGCCAUGAGUGAAUCAGGAGUGAAGGCUGUAAAGCAAUUAGACCCAA
Molecule: long non-coding RNA, 349 nt
Organism: Lagopus muta (rock ptarmigan)
Lineage: Eukaryota; Metazoa; Chordata; Aves; Galliformes; Phasianidae
Exons: 3
Source: RefSeq, a predicted model, not a curated record